RNAcentral lists this ribosomal RNA (455 nucleotides) under Lysinibacillus fusiformis. RNAcentral's name for it is "bacterial SSU rRNA". It matches the Rfam family "Bacterial small subunit ribosomal RNA", at positions 946 to 1400 of the family's 1533-position model. The record is from RNAcentral. Lineage: Bacteria; Bacillati; Bacillota; Bacilli; Caryophanales; Bacillaceae.
UUAAUUUGAAGCAACGCGAAGAACCUUACCAGGUCUUGACAUCCCGUUGACCACUGUAGAGAUAUGGUUUCCCCUUCGGGGGCAACGGUGACAGGUGGUGCAUGGUUGUCGUCAGCUCGUGUCGUGAGAUGUUGGGUUAAGUCCCGCAACGAGCGCAACCCUUGAUCUUAGUUGCCAUCAUUUAGUUGGGCACUCUAAGGUGACUGCCGGUGACAAACCGGAGGAAGGUGGGGAUGACGUCAAAUCAUCAUGCCCCUUAUGACCUGGGCUACACACGUGCUACAAUGGACGAUACAAACGGUUGCCAACUCGCGAGAGGGAGCUAAUCCGAUAAAGUCGUUCUCAGUUCGGAUUGUAGGCUGCAACUCGCCUACAUGAAGCCGGAAUCGCUAGUAAUCGCGGAUCAGCAUGCCGCGGUGAAUACGUUCCCGGGCCUUGUACACACCGCCCGUCAC